This 1622-nucleotide ribosomal RNA is filed under the name uncultured Sebacinales. RNAcentral's name for it is "eukaryotic LSU rRNA". The stretch from base 960 to 1622 matches the Rfam family "Eukaryotic large subunit ribosomal RNA", at positions 1 to 649 of the family's 3401-position model. Lineage: Eukaryota; Fungi; Basidiomycota; Agaricomycetes; Sebacinales. The record is from RNAcentral.
CAGCAAUGUUCCUUCCGCAGAGUACACUUGCAGAAGCCUUAGUGGCCUGAAAGGGUUCUACCAACGACUAUAAACAAGUAGGUGGAUUAAAUGCUAGUCUCUUAUGAGGCAACACCAUCAAAUUGCGGGAAGAUCCUGUUAUGCUUGUGUCACCGCUGCUCACUGAAAAGUAGAGUAAGCACCAGGCUAAUCACCUUGGGUAUGGUCAUAGCACGCAAGUUAGGGAGGAUCCGCAGCCAAGUCCCUUCUGGGAUGCAGUUCACAGGCCAAAUGGUGGUGGGCACUCCUAGUGCUUAAGAUAUGGUCGAGUCCAUGUUGAAAAAUAUGGUACAAGUACUCUGUACAUAAGCAAUACGUUCCGUAGGUGAACCUGCGGAAGGAUCAUUAGUGAAAACACAAGUCGGUUGUUUGUGCUGGUGGAAACACAUGUGCAUGACGGCCGCAAAUCCACACACCUGUGCACCUUUGACUGUGGGAUUCGCUUGUUGGUUUGUUCCAACUUGCAGCUGGUUGACAUUGCGCCGACUGGAGUCUCAUGGUAUUUUUUACACACGCUAAAGUAAUGGAAUGUCUUUGCAUAAUGCAUAUGAAAACAACUUUCAACAACGGAUCUCUUGGCUCUCGCACCGAUGAAGAACGCAGCGAAAUGCGAUAAGUAAUGUGAAUUGCAGAAUUCAGUGAAUCAUCAAAUCUUUGAACGCACCUUGCACUCUUUGGUAUUCCAAAGAGUACGCCCGUUUGAGUGUCAUUGUAAUCUCACCUCUACAACUUUGUUGAUGUGGAAAGUGGAUGUGGGCCUCGUUGUGUAAUAACAACUGGCCUGAAAUGGAUGAGUGUACCCUGCUGCUGCUGCGUUUCAGUGUGAUAAGUAUCUUCACUGAUAAAAGUUCCUUUGGGACACGAUUGCAAAGUGGGCUCUGCGCUUCCAACUGUCUGUUAAUGGACAAUACUUGACAAUUUGGCCUCAAAUCGGGUGGGACUACCCGCUGAACUUAAGCAUAUCAAUAAGCGGAGGAAAAGAAACUAACAAGGAUUCCCCUAGUAACGGCGAGUGAAGAGGGAAAAGCUCAAAUUUUGAAUCUGUCGUCUUUGGCGAUCGAGUUGUAAUCUAGAGAAGUGUUUUCUGCCUUGGACCACACAUAAAUUCCCUGGAAUGGGGUGUCAAAGAGGGUGAGAAUCCCGUUUGUGGUGUGGACUCCCUUGGCUCUGUGAUACACUCUCGACGAGUCGAGUUGUUUGGGAUUGCAGCUCAAAAUGGGUGGUAAAUUCCAUCUAAAGCUAAAUACUGGCGAGAGACCGAUAGCGAACAAGUACCGUGAGGGAAAGAUGAAAAGCACUUUGGAAAGAGAGUGAAACAGUACGUGAAAUUGUUGAAAGGGAAGCGUUUGAAGUCAGUCACAUUGUCUGGGACUCAGCCUUGCUUCUGCUUGGUGUACUUCCCAGUCAAUGGGUCAGCAUCAGUUUUGACCGUGGGAGAAAGACUUGAGGAAUGUGGCUCUUCAGAGUGUUAUAGCCUCUUGUUGUAUGUCUCGGUUGGGACUGAGGAUUGCAGCGCGCCUUAUGGCCGGGGUUCGCACCCUCGGUACGCGCUUAGGAUGCUGGCAUAAUGGCUUUAAGCGACC